GUGCUUACUUUGGUAGCACAUAUAACAAAAUUGGAACAAUGCAGAGAAGAACAACAUGGUGUCUGUGCAAGGAUGAGAAUCUGCCUUGUGUAUGAUUAUUUAAUAUC
This is a small nuclear RNA of Suncus etruscus (white-toothed pygmy shrew), 107 nucleotides long. The record is from RefSeq and is a predicted model, not a curated record. NCBI's taxonomy places the organism in Eukaryota, Metazoa, Chordata, Mammalia, Eulipotyphla, Soricidae.